Non-coding RNA from Entophlyctis helioformis, 84 nucleotides. The record is from the annotation of a GenBank genome assembly. Lineage: Eukaryota; Fungi; Chytridiomycota; Chytridiomycetes; Chytridiales; Chytriomycetaceae.
GCAUGUGUGGCCGAGUGGUCUAAGGCGUGACGCUUAAGACGUUAUAGGCGAAAGCCUGCGUGGGUUCGAACCCCACCGCAUGCA